Molecule: ribosomal RNA, 253 nt
Filed under: uncultured bacterium
Lineage: Bacteria
Description: partial 16S ribosomal RNA
Rfam family: Bacterial small subunit ribosomal RNA
Source: RNAcentral
UACGGGGGGGGCAAGCGUUGUUCGGAAUUACUGGGCGUAAAGGGCUCGUAGGCGGCCAACUAAGUCGGAUGUGAAAUCCCCAGGCUCAACCUGGGAACUGCAUCCGAUACUGGAUGGCUUGAAUUCGGGAGAGGGAUGCAGAAUUCCAGGUGUAGCGGUGAAAUGCGUAGAUAUACGGAGGAACACCAGAGGCGAAGGCGGAUCGCUGGGCCGACACUGACGCUGAUGUGCGAAAGCUAGGGGAGCAAACGGG